Molecule: ribosomal RNA, 468 nt
Filed under: uncultured bacterium
Lineage: Bacteria
Description: partial 16S ribosomal RNA
Rfam family: Bacterial small subunit ribosomal RNA
Source: RNAcentral
GACGAACGCUGGCGGCGUGCUUAACACAUGCAAGUCGAACGGAAAGGCCCUGCUUUUGUGGGGUGCUCGAGUGGCGAACGGGUGAGUAACACGUGAGUAACCUGCCCUUGACUUUGGGAUAACUUCAGGAAACUGGGGCUAAUACCGGAUAGGAGCUCCUGCUGCAUGGUGGGGGUUGGAAAGUUUCGGCGGUUGGGGAUGGACUCGCGGCUUAUCAGCUUGUUGGUGGGGUAGUGGCUUACCAAGGCUUUGACGGGUAGCCGGCCUGAGAGGGUGACCGGCCACAUUGGGACUGAGAGACGGCCCAGACUCCUACGGGAGGCAGCAGUGGGGAAUAUUGCACAAUGGGCGGAAGCCUGAUGCAGCAACGCCGCGUGCGGGAUGACGGCCUUCGGGUUGUAAACCGCUUUCGCCUGUGACGAAGCGUGAGUGACGGUAAUGAGUAAAGAAGCACCGGCUAACUACGUG